CUCAUCCCAGUGAACUGAUUGCCAGAGAUGAAACAGCUGAACCACAGACGGAGCUCAAUACAGUUGUUACUCAGAGUCACCCUGCCCACCUCCCAGCAGAAUUAUGUGUUGUCGCCGCUGCACCCACCCCCUACCAUAACUGAGUAGGUGGGACUUAAUGGAAGUUGUGAUCCUGGAGCUAGCCAUAGGGGGAAACUACCUGAAGAGGAAGGCAAACACCUCAAAAUAGCUUCAGGAAGUCCCUGAAACUGACCAGAUACAAGGUCCCUCCCUGCCAAACUAAGCAAUCCAAAAAACAAACAAACAAACAAAAACCUGAGAGUCCCUCUCAGACAAAACAAAGCUUAGCCACAAAGAAGACUCUCACACAGGCCAAGCUGCAAAGAAGACUCUGAUACCAGCUGCCUAGAAGCGGGAACUAACUGAGCUGCCUGGAAGAGGUUUAGAUCAACUGAGGCACCUGGAAAGGAUCCUCCUAACCUGUUGGGCUGCCUCCUGGCAGAACAGUAUGCUUCAGCUUCCCAGCUUUGUGAGCUGUCACCUGUGCUAAGUGACCCAGCAGCUGUCUUUGAGUCAUUUCUAUUCCUGUAAGUAACCCCUCACCCAUAUUCCAGUAAGUGAGUCCAAUAAAACUCUUUGGUUCACCAA
Long non-coding RNA from Mus musculus (house mouse), 648 nucleotides. RefSeq annotates it as predicted gene, 53501. Lineage: Eukaryota; Metazoa; Chordata; Mammalia; Rodentia; Muridae. The record is from RefSeq and is a predicted model, not a curated record. The transcript has 3 exons.